GUUUGACCCUGGCUCAGGAUGAAUGCUAGCGGAGCGCCUAACACAUGCAAGUCGAGCGAAUCCAUUUGUAUGAUUUAUUGAAGUGCUUGCACUGAUAUAAUGAAUAUGUAUGAGAUUAGCGGCAGACGGGCGAGUAACGCGUACUUAACUUACCCUAAAGUGAGGAACAACUGGAGAAAUCCCGCUAAUUCCUCAUAGUCUCUUGGAGUUGAGAUACACUAAGAGUAAAGGUUUACCGCUUUAGGAGAGGUGUGCGUCCUAUCAGCUAGUUGGUAAGGUAAAUGCUUACCAAGGCAAUGACGGGUAGCCGGACUGAGAGGUUGAUCGGCCGCAAUGGGACUGAGACACGGCCCAUACCCCUACGGGGGGCAGCAGUGGGGAAUAUUGGGCAAUGGGCGAAAGCCUGACCCAGCGACUCCGCGUGGAGGAAGAAGCCUUAAGGGGUGUAAACUCCUUUUCUGGGGGAAGACGAAUGACGGUACCCCAGGAAUAAGCCACGGCUAACUACGUGCCAGCAGCCGCGGUAAUACGUAGGUGGCAAGCAUUAUCCGGAAUUACUGGGUGUAAAGAGUCCGUAGCCGGUUGUAUAAGUCUACUUUUAAAAGCUUUGGCUCAACCAAAGAGAGGGGGUAGAUACUGUAUAACUAGAGAUAGUUAGAGGUUAAUGGAAUUCUCGGUGGAGGGGUGAAAUCUGUUGAUAUCGGGAGGAAUGCCGAAAGCGAAAGCAGUUAACUAUAAUUAAUCUGACGGUGAUGGACGAAAGCAUAGGUAGCAAACAGGAUUAGAUACCCUGGUAGUCUAUGCCGUAAACUAUGCUCGCUAGGUGUUUUCACGAGAGUGGGAGUGCUGUAAGCAAACGCGUUAAGCGAGCCACCUGAGGAGUACAGUCGCAAGACUGAAACUCAAAGGGAUAGGCGGGGGAAUACACAAGCAGUGGAUUGUCUCGAUUAAUUGGAUAAUAAGCCAAGAAUCUUACCUAGGCUUGACAUCCUUAGGAUUUUAUAGAAAUAUAGAAGUGCCUAGAUUACUAGGAGCUAAGUGACAGGUGCUGCAUGGCCGUCGUCAGCUCGUGCCGCAAGGUGUCCGGUUAAGUCCGGGAACGAGCGCAACCCUCGUACUUAGUUAAGAUGUCUAAGUAGACUGCCUUCGCAAGAGGGAGGAAGGAGAGGAUGACGUCAGGUCAUUAUGGCCCUUAUGCCUAGGGCGUCAGAGACAAUACAAUGGUUGGUACAAUAUGAGGCGAUAUCGCGAGAUGGAGCAAAUCAUGAAAAACCAACCUUAGUGCGGAUUGUAGUCUGGAACUCGACUACAUGAAGUUGGAAUUGCUAGUAAUGGUGGAUCAGCCAUGCCACCGUGAAUAUGUCCCUGUUCCUUGCACUCACCGCCCGUCAUACCAUGGGAGCUGAGGCUCUUUGAAGCACUACAGAGUGGUGUAAGAAGGGAAUUAGCGACUGGGGUAAAGUCGUAACAAGGUAUCCCUACGGGAACGUGGGGAUGGACCAUCUUUAAAGU
This 1512-nucleotide ribosomal RNA is filed under the name Candidatus Vampirococcus lugosii. RNAcentral describes it as "bacterial SSU rRNA". It matches the Rfam family "Bacterial small subunit ribosomal RNA". Lineage: Bacteria; Candidatus Absconditibacteriota. The record is from RNAcentral.